RNAcentral lists this ribosomal RNA (879 nucleotides) under uncultured Bacteroidota bacterium. Its description in RNAcentral is "bacterial SSU rRNA". It matches the Rfam family "Bacterial small subunit ribosomal RNA", at positions 9 to 883 of the family's 1533-position model. Lineage: Bacteria; Pseudomonadati; Bacteroidota. The record is from RNAcentral.
GAGUUUGAUCAUGGCUCAGGAUGAACGCUCGCGGCAGGCCUAAUACAUGCAAGUCGAACGGUAACAUGAGAGCUUGCUCUUGAUGACGAGUGGCGCACGGGUGCGUAACACGUAUGUAACCUACCUAUUACAGGGGGAUAGCCCCGAGAAAUCGGGAUUAAUACCCCAUAGUAUAUUAAAAUGGCAUCUUAUUAAUAUUAAAGUUUCGGCGGUAAUAGAUGGACAUGCGUCCCAUUAGCUAGUAGGUGAGGUAACGGCUCACCUAGGCGACGAUGGGUAGGGGGUCUGAGAGGAUGAUCCCCCACACUGGUACUGAGAUACGGACCAGACUCCUACGGGAGGCAGCAGUAGGGAAUAUUGGUCAAUGGGCGCAAGCCUGAACCAGCCAUGGCCGCGUGCAGGAAGACGGCCUUCUGGGUUGUAAACUGCUUUUAUCAGGGAAGAAAAAGCUCUUGCGAGAGAAAUUGCCUGUACCUGAUGAAUAAGCACCGGCUAACUCCGUGCCAGCAGCCGCGGUAAUACGGAGGGUGCAAGCGUUGUCCGGAUUUAUUGGGUUUAAAGGGUGCGUAGGCGGAUAAUUAAGUCAGUGGUGAAAGACUGCAGCUUAACUGUGGAACUGCCCUUGAUACUGUUGGUCUUGAGUUACAGUGAAGUGGUUAGAAUGUGUAGUGUAGCGGUGAAAUGCAUAGAUAUUACACAGAAUACCGAUUGCGAAGGCAGAUCACUAACUGUUGACUGACGCUAAUGGACGAAAGCGUGGGGAGCAAACAGGAUUAGAUACCCUGGUAGUCCACGCCGUAAACGAUGUCAACUAGACGUUGGGGGGUUUAACCCUUUAGUGUCGCAGCUAACGCAUUAAGUUGACCGCCUGGGGAGUAC